UUCCCGGCAAAUUUGUUAUCAUCAUCAUAUAUUAGUCAAAACAUAUUCUUUCACAUGAUUGGUAAUGAGAGCUUCCAUUUCAUUUUUUGAGAGGGGGGCGUUUCCAAUACUGGUCUUUACCUUUAAAGCAGUCACCUGUAGUAGAAUUCAUGAAAAUAGUUUAGUGAGAGGUCUUCUUUCAUUCAGUGUAUUUUUUUUUUUUUUACUCAUAAUAAUAUUCGUUGGUGCUUGUGCAAAUAUCUCUUUGUGUGUUAUAUAUUAUUCUUAACUGCCAUUUUGCAGUUUCAAACCAGUAACUCAUCUUAAAUGUACAUGUACAUGUAGUUUAUUUGUUAGGAAAUCACAACUCAUGUACCAUUUAGUAGGCCUACUGCUUAAAUCAAAUGCAAAAUCAUCCCUGUUUUACAAUGACAUGCAUAUUGAUAACAAGCAAUCCUUAUUUGUUUUUUUAUUUUGGUGAUGUUGUGUAAAUGAUAUAAUACAAGGAAGUUCAUUAAUGUACAUUUAAACCAACAUAUUGUACUCCUACAUACUUUAUACAUAAUAAUAGGGUUAUUUAUAUAGCGCUGGUAUCCGUCAGGCUCUGACGCUCAUGGCGCAUUACACAUAUUACCCUGGUUGUAGCUGAGCUGCCAAAGUAACUAGCGCUCAAGCAUAUCAGGUACCCAUUUACUCCUGUAGGUAAGCAUUAUAUGCAUGGCUUAUUUUUACGAUGCCAAAUUUUGCUGGAGUACUACAAACGAAACAGAGUUGCCUUCUUUUUCAAAGUAUAAUGCAUCUCUGUUGGGAUUAUUUAUUCAGUUCAUGCGAAAAGGUAUGCAGUGCAUUGUACACAUGGCCUGGCCUGGGAUUUGUAUCAUUGUUGUUGCUUAUAAAUUGUGUAAUCUUGGUUUGUAGAUUUAGGUGGUAAUUUCUAUUUGGUCUUCCAUUUCAUUGUGCAAUGCAGUUAAGUAAUUCAGGUAAAACAACAAACAUCAAAAAUGUUUGAAUACCUUUUGAAAUACAGUGCUAGUCAUAUAUAGAAAAUGAAAAAAAAAAUCACUUUCAAAUUGCCUAUUAUUUUAAGGCGGAGCUGUAAAUAUAUUGAAUUGGAUAAUUUGUUAACUAUUCCGGCUUCAUUUGGUACGACCUUUGUCUGGCAACUCUUCACAGUUGACUUCAGGAGUUUAUUAAAGCGAUGAUGUAAUAAACAAAAAGAAUAAACAUUUGUGCCAACUCCAGCUUUUUCCUGGUAUUGUUACAUAACUAUCUUAAAUGUGAUAUUACGUAACCAUCUUAAUUACAUCACUGUCGAUUCAAAUCUCAUUGGAAGGCAGAAGACUGAAAUGUUUUAUUUACAAACACAAUCAAUCAAUCAGGAGUACUUUAUUUCUGUUUUGUAUUGGAAUAGAUAUUUAUGUAGUUUGAAAAUUAAUUUUGAGUGUUGAUUUCUCUUUUAUGAUUCAUCAAUGGCAAGUUGGACACAUUUGCAAAAAUUAGGAUAAAAUAUCCUGCGGUAACUCAUUUCUCCAUGACCGAGUUGCCAAUUUGACUCUCAUAGAACAUAAAAUCAUUAUCAUUAAACAAUUAGUAUUCCUUUUUUCCAGGAUUUUUCAUGGAAUUUAAGUUUUUGGCAUCUUUAAAAUCAAAUCGGCGUCAUCAUAAUGUUGAGGGCUGGAUAUGAUUUUAAAGGAGCUAAUAUUUCAGAUUUAAAUUUAGAUUUGUGCAUUAUUUUUUACUGGAUUACUGUCAACAUUAAUACUUUUGCAAAUGACAUAUAUUUUAUAUUGAUUCUUGUGUGACAUAUUUUCUUAUACUUGUACAUAUCUAAGUAUCGCUUAUAAAAUUGUAAACAGUAUUUUCAUUUGCUUAUAUUUUGUUUGAUGAUAUUAAGAAAUAGUAUAUUCAAUAUUUGUUCUUCAAAUUUUCUAAAUUAUAGCAAUAUCUAUCAUAUUUUUUGAUUCAUUAUAUUAUUGCUUUGGUAAUUCAACGUGAAAAUGAUUUCCCUGUAUGCUACCCUUUUUUCAGUUUGGAGUAUGUAAACAAUUUACAAUGUGCACAUAUUGUGUUGUCAUUUUCAAUGACUUCCUUCUCUCUCUCUCUCUCUCUCUCUCUCUCUCUCUCUCUCUCAUUCUCACUAUCUAAUUCAUUCUCGAUAUCCCCUUCUCACUCUCUUUUGCCAUUCUUUCUUUCUCUUUCCAUAUAAUCGGGAGCGCCAGGAGGGUCAAAUCUAACUGACAUGAGCGCUAUACAAGAACCCAUUAUAAUUAUGAUAUAUUUGUUGCGUCUUUCAAGCAAUACUAUUUCAUGUACACACAUCAGAUCUCCGAUAUAUUUUUCCUGAUACUUUACUUUCAUUAUUUUGAUAGCAUUUUAUGCUGGUAAUAAAUACUUGGGUAAAGGAAA
Molecule: long non-coding RNA, 2385 nt
Organism: Strongylocentrotus purpuratus (purple sea urchin)
Lineage: Eukaryota; Metazoa; Echinodermata; Echinoidea; Camarodonta; Strongylocentrotidae
Exons: 3
Source: RefSeq, a predicted model, not a curated record